AUGUGCGCCGCCCGGCCCCAACUCCGGCGAUGCUCGGCCGACUCCCUCACCUCCUGCUGGCCUCCUUCAACUCAGGCCGAGUUCGCCUUGUUCACGUCCGACGGCCGCCGUGCUUGGCCCCAUCUGCAACGCCUCGAGGCGAGCUCGCCAUGGCUGCCUCGCCCACAGCCGGCAGCAGGGAGCCCUCGAGCUCUGCCGCGUGCAGCAGGGCAGCAGCAACGGCCUAGAGCUCCGCCGCGUGCAGCAGAGCAGCAGGGACGGCGCCGCCGAAGGCCGGCCGAUGCCCACAUCAGCUCCGGCGACGAGCUCGCCGGCGGGGACCUGAUUGCUUUUUAUUUUAUUUUUCAGGGACCCGAUUGCUUUUUAUUUUAA
This 372-nucleotide ribosomal RNA is filed under the name Triticum aestivum (bread wheat). RNAcentral's name for it is "partial small subunit ribosomal RNA". The record is from RNAcentral. Lineage: Eukaryota; Viridiplantae; Streptophyta; Magnoliopsida; Poales; Poaceae.